RNAcentral lists this unclassified non-coding RNA (337 nucleotides) under soil metagenome. RNAcentral describes it as "partial contains 5.8S ribosomal RNA, internal transcribed spacer 2, and large subunit ribosomal RNA". The stretch from base 1 to 120 matches the Rfam family "5.8S ribosomal RNA", at positions 35 to 154 of the family's 154-position model. The record is from RNAcentral.
GAUGAAGAACGCAGCGAAAUGCGAUAAGUAGUGUGAAUUGCAGAAUUCAGUGAAUCAUCGAAUCUUUGAACGCACAUUGCGCCCCUUGGUAUUCCAUGGGGCAUGCCUGUUCGAGCGUCAUUUGUACCUUCAAGCUCUGCUUGGUGUUGGGUGUUUGUCUCGCCUCUGCGUGUAGACUCGCCUCAAAACAAUUGGCAGCCGGCGUAUUGAUUUCGGAGCGCAGUACAUCUCGCGCUUUGCACUCAUAACGACGACGUCCAAAAGUUCAUUUUUACACUCUUGACCUCGGAUCAGGUAGGGAUACCCGCUGAACUUAAGCAUAUCAAUAAGCGGAGGA